This 253-nucleotide ribosomal RNA is filed under the name uncultured bacterium. RNAcentral describes it as "partial 16S ribosomal RNA". It matches the Rfam family "Bacterial small subunit ribosomal RNA", at positions 524 to 776 of the family's 1533-position model. The record is from RNAcentral.
UACGUAGGCAGCAAGCGUUGUUCGGAAUUACUGGGCGUAAAGAGUGUGUAGGCGGUGUUCUAAGUUUGUCGUGAAAUCUCCCGGCUUAACUGGGAGGGUGCGGCGAAAACUGGAAUGCUAGAGGAUGGGAGAGGUAAGCGGAAUUCCUGGUGUAGCGGUGAAAUGCGUAGAUAUCAGGAGGAACACCUGUGGUGUAGACAGCUUACUGGUCCAUUUCUGACGCUGAGACACGAAAGCGUGGGUAGCAAACAGG